GAGAGAGGCCUAAAAGCAGUGAAGACUGCUAAUUUUCACCACCCCGGUUAGAGUCCGGGGCUCACUCG
RNAcentral lists this transfer RNA (68 nucleotides) under Stephanoberyx monae. RNAcentral describes it as "tRNA-Ser". The record is from RNAcentral. Lineage: Eukaryota; Metazoa; Chordata; Actinopteri; Beryciformes; Stephanoberycidae.